Molecule: long non-coding RNA, 138 nt
Organism: Xiphophorus couchianus (Monterrey platyfish)
Lineage: Eukaryota; Metazoa; Chordata; Actinopteri; Cyprinodontiformes; Poeciliidae
Exons: 4
Source: RefSeq, a predicted model, not a curated record
UAAAGGUCUUUGCCUUGUUAAUUUAAUGCCUUGAAAUUUGGCCUUUGACCCUUUAAGAAAGUCCUGCUCUUUCUGAAACUCUGCCUUCAGGAAGUUAUCACAACAUUUCUUCUUUAUUAACCCUUUAAUAAUGUUUUU